RNAcentral lists this ribosomal RNA (253 nucleotides) under uncultured bacterium. RNAcentral's name for it is "partial 16S ribosomal RNA". It matches the Rfam family "Bacterial small subunit ribosomal RNA", at positions 524 to 776 of the family's 1533-position model. The record is from RNAcentral.
UACGUAGGGGGCUAGCGUUGUCCGGAAUCAUUGGGCGUAAAGCGCGUGUAGGCGGUCCGGUAAGUCCGCUGUGAAAGUCGAGGGCUCAACCCUCGAACGCCGGUGGAUACUGUCGGGCUAGAGUACGGAAGAGGCGAGUGGAAUUCCUGGUGUAGCGGUGAAAUGCGCAGAUAUCAGGAGGAACACCAAUUGCGAAGGCAGCUCGCUGGGACGUUACUGACGCUGAGACGCGAAAGCGUGGGGAGCAAACAGG